AUGCAGUUACAGCUCGAGGAUGAAAGGAUAAGAAAGAAGAAGUGUGAUUUCCAAAGGAGAAAGGAGUUGGAAUGGCGUCAAAAGGCUGCCAGUGUUCAACGAAGUGAUCGGGAUGUUGCUCAAGCUCCUGAAGGUACAAUCCUGAUGCAAACUCGUUUGACGCAAGUGUUUACUCGUGAUGCAGUUAAGGAGAAGAAAGCUGUUUUGAAGAGGAAGAUGUCAGAUCGAAAUCCUGAUGGCACACAGAGGCGUAGCCCACGUGUGAAAGCUGGUUCCCAACCUGGUAACAGCAAAGCUGAUGGGGAUAGUGUUGCUGUGAAGAUUGGUCCAAGCAAACUUGGUGGCUCCCCUAUCCGUCGUAGUCCACGGGUUUUGACAAAUAAGAAGCCUUCUUCGCCUCCUCUUCCAGAGCGCUCUUUGUUGAAAGAAAAUAAUAAGCGUAAAGUUCAUCCUGCGAAGGUGAACAAAGGUGUGAAGAAGCGUGCUCGUGUCGAAGCUGAAGAUGUUGUAUCUGAAAAAGAUGAUAUCGAAGUUGAUUCUGAAGAUGAAUUUGCAGUGCCUGUUAGCGUUAUGAGUCCGGUCAAGCCGGUGGGAGGCAAUGCCGGAAAAGUUGCCUUGGAUGAAGAUACGAUGACUCUUGACAUGGGUGAGGCUAAUAAGAAGCUUCGCAUCACUAGCGAUGGUAUACAUCAAUUAUUUUGGUUCCCUCGUGGUGGUCGUUCUUCGCCAAGGCCGUCAGAGGAUGGAUAUGACGACGCUCUGAUGAAGUUAAAGAUCGGAGCUUGA
RNAcentral lists this ribosomal RNA (786 nucleotides) under Triticum aestivum (bread wheat). Its description in RNAcentral is "partial small subunit ribosomal RNA". Lineage: Eukaryota; Viridiplantae; Streptophyta; Magnoliopsida; Poales; Poaceae. The record is from RNAcentral.